AAUAGUGUAAGAGUUGAACGCGCGCGCACGAAAACGCAUCAGAAAUUCACACUCACGAAGUUCGACUUUUGUACUAUAAUGGGACAAGAAGAUUUGAAGUAUUUACUUACGUACCACAUGCUACCGUUUUAGCAUCAUUGUUUUUACAAAAUCUCUCUCCCAUUAAGAGUGACUCGACGCCACGCUCUCGCCAUCGCGAAAUAACUAAAAGCGCCUACAACCGCGUAUCGAUUCUUCUCGCGUUCGACUUUAGAGCUUACUUAAUGGCGCGAUGACGAUUCUUACGAAUUUGAUAAUCAUCUAAGUAAAUUUUAUGUCGAUACAAUAUUAUCCACUUCGCAGCAUUCUCACUUUUUUCUCCCUCCCGCCCUUCCAAUCAUUCUUACUCCCUCCCUCACUACUUCUCUUUUUCUCUCUCUCUCUCUCUCUCUCUCUCUCUCUCCCUCUUUCCCUCUUUCCCACUCACUCACUCACUCAUUCACUCACUCACUCACUCACUCACUCUCCCUCUUCGUUUCUUUCUUUUCCUUUUCUUUCUAUCUCUCUUCCUGUCUAUUGCUCCCUCGCGCCUAUUUGCACAGCACGACAAGGGGAUUUCUGAGGAAACGAAAAACUCGGAACUUUCACUCGUCAAUGAGUUGGGAGAGUAUUGUCGAAGAAAACUUUUAUCCUUACUCACCAAGAUAGAUUAUCGAGAUGAUUAUCGUUGAUGUAUGUACUCGUCUUCAAAGACUUAAAAGUUACAAAUUAUUAAUCCUUUUGUAUCUCGUUUGCGUGAGCGAGUGUUUACUCUACAGAGAAUGGGACGUCGCAUAGCAGCAUUAUGGCGUUGCUGAACCAUCAUGGCGACGUGUUUAUGAGGUUCGCAUUUGCCGUAACUGCUAUACCAGCAAUCGCAUACGUCCAUCACAUUUCUCUUUCAUAUCGAAGACUCUUUUGAUACGUCCUCGUGUGCAUUAUUGGAAUGUUUAUACCAUCCAAAGAAACAUUUGCCCUCCUUGCUUUAGCAUUAUUAAUCACUUUUUGACGCACAUUUACAUACUCAUAGUUACGCACGAUGAUAACAGCGCGAUUCGAUAUGAUAAAAAUUAAUCAAAUGUAAGGACAAUGUGGACUCUUAUUUUCUUCGAUGAUUUUUGAUAAUUUUCUAUGACGCAAAUAUUGUUUUUAUCUCUUUGUGAUAUAUAAUUACCCAACUGUGUCUACGUUUUUCGAUAUCUUUUAAAUUCUUUAUAAUAUAGUUAGCAUAUAACAUUGUUUGUGUCUUAUAUGUAUGUAAAGCGCUGAUUGGCAAAGUCUGCGAAUGAGAGAAGGGUGGGAAAUUCGAAUAAUUGCAUUACCGAGAAAAAGAUAAGCGUUACGAAAUUUACUCAAAUUAUGAUAGUAGUAAAGAUGACGUGCCUAGAUUACCUAUUUUUCUGUUGUACAAUCAAGUCAACAUGUAGUUACGUCCUUUUUUCUGAGUCAUCUAAAAAGUAUACAUACGCAAACGUUAUGUGUCCGUAUACUACGUACGAAGAUAAAACUAAAACAAUUACCUUAAUGCUUCAUUAAUCACGAUAUUAAUCAUCGAUUAGAAAUAUUAUAAAACUAUAAAUUUUAUUUUCCUAUUGUAAGAAUAAUAUACAACUUAUAUACAAUUCUUUUAAUACACAUAUUGUUUUGUUAAUGCUCUUAAAAAUUUUGCUUUUCUUAUAUUUGCUGCUUCUCUCUGGAUUUCUUCAUUAUUAUUAGAAUUCAACUCUAACAGACCUAUGAUCUUAAUCUGAAAAUAAUGAUGAUCUGAAUAUAAUGAUGGAAGAAAGAAAAUGAAAGUAAUUUUUAUUAUAUUAUUAAUACUUACAGCAAGUUGCUUUCUAUGAUGUUCACCACGUUUAGUAUGUAAAUGAAUAAGAUAUUCCAAUAUUGUUGUAUCCCAAAUGCAAUGAUAAUAUGCAUCCAUUGCAUCUGCUGUUGUACAACUUUUUUGAUCGCUUCCUGCCAUUUUAAAUGCCAGAGAAUAAUCUACUUCUUCCAAAAAUUGACAUAAUAUAGCUGCUUGCGUAUAACAUUGCAAAUGAGCACAACAUUUAAUCAUUCUUCUGUAAACAAGAUCAUCUAUUUGUGCACGUGGUAUAGGUUGACUGAAAAAAUCGCUAGCAACCAUUAUUGCUUCUAGGUAAUAUUUCAUUGCACUUUCAUAAUAACCUAAAACUAUUGAAACAUUUAAUUAUUAGUAUCUGAAUAAAGAAGAAUUCUAUCUUUUUUACAUCAUCUAUUGUUUGUAUACUUACCAAAGUUAAGAUCACCUGUUAAUCUUAGCCAAGGAAUAUUAGUGGGGUGAUAUUUUAAGGCUUGCAUUAAUAAUUGAAAUAAUAACUCUCCAAUAUAUCUAAUAUUAUAAAAGUUAGUACUGAAAAUUGUAUACACAUUAUUAAUACAUAUUUAUAAUGUUAAAUAGAAUUAAGGAAUGUAAUAUUUACUUUAAUACUCCUGCUGGCCAGAGAGUAAGAUAUUGUGUAUGCAAUUCUAAACUAGAUUCAUCGCGUAAUACAUUACGUAAACGUGCUAGGAGAGAAAUAACAACAGUAAGAACCAUUGGUUCACGUAGUCUAUUUAAGGUUCCUAUUAUACUAGCACUGGCAUCUCUUGAUGCACUUCCAGUAGUAGUACCACUAUUACCACUACUGCUUCGUUUUUGUGGCUGGUCUCUAGGUGCUCCAAAAGCUGUCAAAACUUAUUUAUUAUGAAGAUUAUUUAUAUUUUCAUAAAAAAACAAUUAAAAUAUAGUAAUUUAUAUUAGUUAAUGAUAAAAUAUUUACUCAUAUCCCAUGCUUCUCUAGGAAAUUUCCGUGUCCCUUUAUAUUUAACAAUAUCUUGACAAACACUACUAAUAGCAGCUGCAAAUUCUGUAUAACUCCAUCGUUUUUCUAAACUUGUAAGAUAAUCCCAUUCGGCCAUAUUUAAUAGAAAAACAGUACAAUAUUCAAUUAUUUCUUGUCUUGGAAUAACUUGAUCAGUUGCUUGCAAUGCACCAAGACAUUGUUUACUUCUUGCAACUAAAUUUGAUAUAUUACCUAAAAUGAAACAAUUCAUGUUAUUACAGUUAAUUCCAUUGAGGAUUUAAAUUAUUUUUUUCAAUUUAUACUUACAUAUGUUUGUUGCUGGCCAGGCAUGGAGACAUCUCCAUAUAUCAACAAGUAAUGACUCCCAAUUUAUUAACUUAGAUAAUUUAUAAAUUAAUGUAUUUCCACUUUGUGAAUGUUGUUGUACUUCCUUCUCUAAAACAAGUAACAAUUCAAUAGCUCCUUCAAAGUCUUUAGAUAUUACUAAUUCUCUGCUUUUAGCCAAAAGAACAUAUGAAUAGUCUUGAAGAAAUCCUCGAGGAAGAGACAUAACAACACUUUGUAAUGGUAUAGGUAAUUCCCAAUAAUUGUUUAUAUGCCAUAAUGGCUUCAUACGAAGUUUGCUAUCCAAAAGUAGUAAAGUUUCAUGAAUUUCUUGACUAUCAUAAGAUUGUAUGAGUUUUUGUUCUAAUUCAAAAACUUCUAUCCCUGUAUUAUCUAUAAAUUAAAUUUAUAUUAUUUUUUAUGAAUAUUUAUAACAUUUGCCUAUAAAUUUAUAUGCUAAAUAUUUACAUGCAGAUCUCAUAGGUGUAAUGCCCCAGUCAUUAUUUAAUAAUAAAUUUGGUAAUUCCAUUUCUUCAAUAGAUGCCUUUUUUUCUAUUUCAUGUAAUUCCCUUUCAUUGAAAAGUGCUGUAUAAGCAGGAUCAUUAAGUAAUUUAGAUGCCAAUCCUUCUAAAUUACUUGUAUUUACAAGAUAAAGUAAAUAACGAGAGAUGUAUUUUUUGUCUACUAGAGUUGCUUUUUCCAGAACACUAUCAAGAGCCUAUAAAAUAAUUUUGUAAAAAAUAUAAUUAAUAACUUUGAUUUAAAUAAUUAUUUUUAAAUAUUAACUGUUUAAAAUCUUGCUUACCCAGAAAAGCACAUCAAGUCCUUUAGUACCAGCUGAUUGUAUUUCAGAAACAUAAUCUCCAAGAAUAACACUUUCAUUGAGUAUAUUACGAACUAAAUUCAAACAUUGAAUUUGUAAUAAUAAAUCACGAGCUACUACAAGUUUUCUAUUUACAGAUCCUCCUUGAAUAUCUAAUUCUAAAUUAUCCCUAUAGACUUUUGGUAUAUCUCUUGAAAUAUUAUCAGUUUGCAAAAUUUGCAAUAUAUUCUAAAAUAUGAUUUUCAUAUUAUAUCAAAGAAACAUUAUAUGAUUCCAAUCAUUAAUAAUGUAUACAUACUACAUAUUGAUCUUUGAUAGAAGACUGUAACUGUUGCGAUAGAGUGGACAUAAUACCAUCUAUAGGUACUUCACAAGCUAAACAACAUCCAUCUAAGAAUUCCUUUUGUAUCUUGCAAUAUAUCAAUGAAUCUGAGGUAUCAAAUUUGUAAAAUAUUUCUUUUGCUUGACCAACAUGGUUCUUUGCUUCUUGAUAUUCUUCUCUUAAUAAAUGAAAUACAGCCAAAUCAUAAUGUAUCUAAAAAAUAGUUGAAAAGUAAUAUAUCACAUUAUAAUUUUUUAACAAAUUACUUUUAUGUUUAUCUGAAUAUGAUACCUGACAUUUAACUUCUUCAAUAUUGAUAGAAUACAUAUUUUCCCAAUUUUGUUUAAUUUCUGUACUAUCUUCGGUAAGCAUUUGAAAAGUAUCAAAAGAGAGUGCUUUCAAUUUUAAAUCCGUUGAUUGUAAGACUGCAUUUAAAGUAUUAACACUAUUGGGUAUAUGUGUUUCUAAUUUUCUAAUAAUCUCAUCCACCAUACCUGAUGGUACGUAAGUAGAUUCCUGAAUACCUGGUCUAAAUAAAAAAAAAAAUAUUCAUAUAAUAACAAUAAAUAUACUAAUAUAUAUUUACUAAGAUAUACUAAUAUUAUUUGAAAAUUUUAAAGUCUUACAUAUGAAGAAACUGCUGUUUAGAUUGCUUAUUAUGCAGAGCUCUAUAAAUUAUUGCUCUUAUAUGCCACCUGUGAUAUAAGACAAUUGUGAACAGUGCUUGAUCAGAAACAUUAUGUAUAGAAAUAUCAGGAAUUGCAGGUAUUUCAACAAUAGCAUCUGUUGUUAUAUAGAACAAAUCUUGCAAUAAAGUUACUUGUAUUGGUAAAGGUAAUUUCUUUUCCAAUAUAUCUAAAUUCCAUUUUAAAUGCGCAGCUACUUUCAAAGAAAGAAUCUUUAAUGCAAGAUUUUUAUGUGACCAUUUUGUCAUGCUAGAUUUUGUUUCAUUUACUUCUACAUCUGUCGAUUUUGUAUCACUCUCCUUUUGAUCAGAAUUAAUUGUUAUAAAUUUAAUUAUCAAAUCAGUAGAUGAUGGGUCUAGGAGUAAAAAGAAUUCGAUUAAUGAAUGAUCAUUAAAUAUUUCUAUUUCUUUAAUUUAUAUCUAAUUAAACUAUGUUUACCUGGAUUGGGCUUUGAUAAAUGUUUCUGUAGUAAAGACGGAUUUAAUAAAAAUUCAAACCAAAGAAUUGUAUCUGGUGAAAUAGGAACCGUUCCUGGUCUUAACAAAUCUACAUCCAUAUUUCUUGUAUUAAUAUUAUUAAAAACAGAUUUGUACUGAUACGAGUUACAUUUACUGUAAAAACAAAUACGCAGGUUAGAUGCGUAGUUUAAGCCGCUCGGUAUGUAGUAUGCACAUACGUUCCAAAUAAUCUCUCCAUUUUUCGUUGUAAAUUAACUAAUUAUAUUUUUUUAUUGUCAAUUUUAUAUAUACAUAAAUUUUUAUAUUAUAUCAAUAACACAAAGAAUAUAUUUCAAAACAUUGUAAGAGUAGAACAACACACAUGAUACUUCACUGAUGCUUUCGAAGCAAAUGACGUCCUUCCUUUUCCUCUUCUAACCUUAUACAAUAAAUAAUAUAUAUAUAUACGCACUAUUUUAGUAACCUUAUACAAUAUAUAUAUAUACAUAUACACACUAUUAUGUAGUAAUAUGACAGUAAUACUGAUUAUCAUAUAAAUAUAAUAAUAAUAUAAAUUUGUGUUUAUAAUGUUAAUGAAAUAAGAUUUUGGAAAUAUAGAAUACUAUUAAUUUAUUAAUAAAACAUGCUUUUGAUCAUGAUUAUGAACUUUAUAAAACUUGUGAUUGGUCCGUUGUACUAUAUGAUUUUUGGCGAUCUACGUAACGCUUGUUUAAUCGAUGAAACUUAACUUUAUAUUUCAAAGGGUAAUUUUGCGGUAUGUAAAAAUUUGAAAGUGAUAUAUCUUCAAGAUAAUAAUAUAUCACAUAUAGAAAAUUUACAUUUUGCGACGAAUUUAACACAUUUAUAUAUGCAACAUAACAAAAUAAGGAAGUUAGAAAAU
Molecule: RNA transcript, 6318 nt
Organism: Vespa velutina
Lineage: Eukaryota; Metazoa; Arthropoda; Insecta; Hymenoptera; Vespidae
Gene name: protein phosphatase 1 regulatory subunit 42-like
Exons: 2
Source: RefSeq, a predicted model, not a curated record